RNAcentral lists this ribosomal RNA (426 nucleotides) under uncultured bacterium. Its description in RNAcentral is "bacterial SSU rRNA". It matches the Rfam family "Bacterial small subunit ribosomal RNA", at positions 356 to 795 of the family's 1533-position model. The record is from RNAcentral.
GGGGAAUCUUCCGCAAUGGGCGAAAGCCUGACGGAGCAAUCCCGCGUGAAGGACGACACCUUUCGGGGCGUAAACUUCUUUUCUGAAGGAAGAAAUUCUGACGGUACUUCAGGAAUAAGCGACGGCUAACUACGUGCCAGCAGCCGCGGUAAUACGUAGGUCGCAAGCGUUAUCCGGAAUUAUUGGGCGUAAAGCGUUCGAGGGCGGUUAUAAAGGUCUGAUAUUAAAUACCUGCGGCUCAACCGAGGUUUUGUAUCGGAAACCAUGUAACUAGAGGAAGACAGAGGCAACUAGAAUUCCCAUUGUAGGGGUAAAAUCCGUAGAUAAUGGGAGGAAUACCGAAAGCGAAGGCAGGUUGCUGGGUCUUUCCUGACGCUGUGCGAACGAAAGCGUGGGGAGCAAAAGGGAUUAGAUACCCCUGUAGUC